Molecule: non-coding RNA, 100 nt
Filed under: Clostridium taeniosporum
Lineage: Bacteria; Bacillati; Bacillota; Clostridia; Eubacteriales; Clostridiaceae
Description: THF-I sequence
Rfam family: THF (Tetrahydrofolate) riboswitch aptamer
About the family: THF riboswitch presents a pseudoknot that joins P1-P2 and the loop of P3 and two THF binding.
Source: Rfam by way of RNAcentral
GACAGAGUAGAUAUUUGCGCGUUAAGUGUUAGGAGGACGGGAAGUUGCCUCUUAAACGAAAAACUUUUUGUUUGCGGUGUAAAUAUUGCAUUCCGCUGUU